Molecule: long non-coding RNA, 1181 nt
Filed under: Sus scrofa (pig)
Lineage: Eukaryota; Metazoa; Chordata; Mammalia; Artiodactyla; Suidae
Description: lncRNA (ENSSSCG00060022618.1)
Source: RNAcentral
AAGAGGGAACGUAAUGCGGCUGUAAGGAAGAGGAGAAGCCCUUGAGAGAAGAGUUUAAUUGGCCACAGAUCUGAUAAGAGAAGUGGGGAGGUUGUUAAUAGUGGUUAUAAAAAGCAAGGUAGGUGAUGAGAAGUACAUUUUUUUCCUUUUUUUUUUUUUUUUUUUUUAGGGCCACACCUGCAGUGUAUGAGUUCCCAAGCUAAGGACUGAAUUGGAGCUGCGGCUGCCAGCCUACAGCAGCCACAGGCACACCAGGUCAUCUUCGACCUACACCAUAGCUCAUGGCAACACCGGAUCCUUAACCCACUGAGUGAGGCCAGGGAUUGAACCUGCAUCCUCACAGAUACUCCUUGGUUCUUAACCUGCUGAGCCACAACAGGAACUCCAAAGCACAUUUUUUAAAGACUAAGAGGGCAUCUCAUCCUGUCAAACUUUUCCCUUCGCAUUUUCAUGGCCUCUCCGGGAAGUGUGAGGGGAGUGGCUCUGAUGACAAGACGAAGGCACAAGAACUGGGAAAAGGUGAGUAAAUAAUUCAAGCUUUCAGUAAAAGGAUAAUUGCAAGAAGCUGAUUGGUUCAGUUGUUUUAAAAGAAUCUGAUUGAGCCUUAAAGACAACCAUUAGGACCACAAAGAUGGAGAAGACCCAAACACUGGAAGAAGGAAGCACUUGUGUGGGAUGCGUUGCUGAGGAGAGUCAUUAGCACACCUGCUAAAGGAGUCCCUGUGCUAUCGGAGUGCAGAAUCAUAAUAGUUUAAUACUUGUGAAGACCAUGUUCUUUCAUUUCUUUUGUUCAUUUAACUUGAUCCUGGUACCAGUAACCCAAACCUCGCUUGUGCCCCCAUGACCAGACUUCCAAGUUCUACCCCCUAUUUUAGGAAGAGGCCUCUGGCUCUACAUUUUCUUGUCUAUUGUCUAUUCCUCUGAGCAUUGAGCUUCUCCCUUGGUCCUCCCCUCAGACAGACCCCUGGUCUCAUGUCUGGCUCCUCCCUUGCUUCUGAAUCCCCCCAACUGCCUGCCAGCCUCUUCUGAGGAGAAAUGUGGCAUGCACAGACUUUAGCACUGAAGGUUAAAAAAAAAUAAUCAGGGAGUUCCCGUCAUGGCUCAGUGCUUAACAAAUCCCACUAGGAAUCGUGAGGUUGCAGGUUCGAUCCCUGACCUGGCUCAGUGGGUUAAGGAUCCGG